CCUGUCCCUGAACGUGGACAAAACUAAAGAGAUGGUUUGUUGACUUUAGGAGAUCACAUACCAAUCACUCUCCACUGAACAUCGACGGCUCCUCUUUGGAGAUCGCAAAGAGCACCAAAUUCAUUGUUGUUCAUCUGACUUGAGAACUUCACCUGGUCUCUCAACACCAGCUCCAUAGCAAAGAAAGCUCAGCAGCCUCUUUACUUUUUAUGCAGACUGAAGAAAGCACAUCUCCCCUCCCCUCCCACCGACCACAUUUUACAGAGGGACUGAGCACCUGCAUCACUACCUGGUUUGGGAAUUGCACCAUCACAGAUCGCAAGACCCUGCAGCGGAUCGUGAGGACAGCUGAAAAGAUCAUCAGAGUCUCUCUCUCCUCUAUCACAGACGUUUACACCACUUGCUGCGUUCGGAAAGCCAUCACUAUUACUAGCGACCCCACACACCCCUCACACCAGCUCUUCACCCUUCUGCCAUCCAGAAGAAAGUACUGAAGCAUUUGGGCCCUCACGGUCAGAUAGUGUGACAGUUUCUUCCCUCGAGUCAUCAGACUCCUCAACUCCAUGAGAACUGACCUGACAACUACACUCACACAUGUACACCCCUACUAUAAAUACUUGAAUUACAAACACUUGGAACCCAACUGCAUACUUUGCAUGUCCGGACAUUUGCAUGAAUCUACCUCAAUAUUGUGCCUUGUCUAUUAAUAUUGUGACCUGUUCUAUGUAUAAAAAUAUGUAUAUGUUUAUAUAUGUAUAUAUACAUAUAUUGUAAUGUCCCAUUCAUGUUUCAUUCAGACAUGCAGACGCACUUUAUGUAGUCUGUACUUUGCUUUAUGUUCAACUUUUUUACUUUUACUUCUUCUUCUUCUUCUUCCAGUUUUAGUAUUAUGUUAGAUUAUUUAAGAUAAUUUAAUUAUGUAUAGUCCUUUGCAAAGUACAAUGUGAGUUUUGUAGUUAAUGUUGUCUUGUGUAGCACCAUGGUCCUGGAGAAACGCUGUUUCGUAGCUGUAUAGAGCUGAAAUGAUAAUAAAGCCUCUCUGACUUUGACUGACUUUUUUUUAUAAAUUGAGUUUUUCCUUCCGUUUUUAAAAAAAUUUCCGUCCACAUGAAAGUGCAAACGCAUGCUAUGAUGCACUGUAAAGAGCAGGCCAAGCCAACAGGUGGGGAUAUAAUAUAUAUGUAACAUAUAAUCUCCACCUUAAAGCCACGUUGGCCAAUCAGAAGCCUGAAAAAGUUUCCAGUAGAAGGAGAUAACAGCACAUGCUCAAAUGUCACGAGCCAAAAUCUCCAGUUUCGCUGUCUACAUGAUAACACUGCAAACAGAGUUUCUGAAAAUCUUCUCCCUGGCAGGAGUUUUCAAAACAGUUUGAGUGACCUGGUUUUCAUUCCUGCUGUUCUGUUUCCCAGUGAUUGAUUGUGUUGGUCAGUUCAGCUGUGUCCUCAUUAGCUGACCCUCCUCACCUGUCUGUCCCUCAUUAGCACAACUUUAGUUCUGGCCCGCUCAGUUGUCCCUCGUCCAGUGUUGUGAAUGCUGCUCCUGUGAUUCACCCUGUGUUGAUUUAUUAAAAGACAUGUUUUUCCUUCAUCUUCAUGAGAGAGUUUAUCUUGGACACACAUACUGUGACACAUAUAUAUUAAUAAAUUGGAGAUUGAUGCAAAAGCAAAUCAUAUAAAGACAGUAAUGCUUGUUUUUUUUCUAUUUCAGUAUAUAUUUUUUGAAUGUUUAAUAUAUUAUCAAUAUUUAUAUAUUGUGAAGUGGAGAUGGAGCAACAGCAAACACAUGAAAGCCGGUCUGAUGGUUUGCAUGUUUAUGUUUUUUUUCGAGUUGCUCAUGAAAGCAGGAGGUUUGUUCUUCAAAGAGCGUGAGGAAGAUGAAAAGAUCCACAUGAAAGGAUGAAGGUCCAUCUGAAAGACCUCUGCUGGCGCUGUGUGAAGGACGCAUGGAGGACCGGUGUGUGAAGUGACCGGGGCUGAAGAGAGACGUCCAGAUGACAGCAGCUGCUCUUCGGGAAUCUCAGCAGUUCUGCUGCGCAUCGAGCUGCACGUCUCUACAUCCUCCUCCACGGAUUUCACUACUCCAUCCACCCACCAUCCAUCCAUUUUUGACUGGGCCCAGGAGGAUUAUGCCAUUCUUCACAGGACGAGAUCUCAGAGCGUGGGCAGGAGAGUCAGCAGCGAGCCCCUAAUGACACAGCGACACCCACACACGUCCAAAACCAAUUUUACCCUCACUAAAAGAACAGCCCUCGCACGUUUCCAUGCAUACAAAUGGCUGAUCGAUGGCGGUCAGCGACUCUCGGCCCUCUGAGAUAUAGUGAGCUCCAGAUCGAUGCCAAUGACAGGUGUUAGAACCACAGACCCCUCCAACAACAAUCCCUGGAAAUGUUGGUUUCCACUCGUCUCUCGUAAUCUCAUUAGGGACAUGAAUGGCUCCCUUUUGAAAGGCGCUGAUGCCGGAGAAGAGGAGGGCGGCAUGGAGAAUGAGUAUUGGAUUUGAGUAAUCCGGGACAGAGGGCAGCGUUCCAUCUCUUGUGCUGGAGCUGCAGAUAAGGCGUCGUCUAUUGAGGGCUCGUCAGCGCUCACACUCAGAAGGUGUCUUGCAGAGUAAGGUGACCUGCUUUUGUACAGUCGUGCGUUUGUGAAAGAGUCACCCAUCAGAUAACAUGAUCACGAACGGUUCAAAAGAAAGCUGGAAGGUGCAUCUUUGUACCUUAUUCACAUCUAGAUGUACAUAUUAGACUACAUAUUAGCAGCUAAAGUGUACAUAUUAGUAUCUUUUGAAGGGGUUUCAGCUCAGGUUCACAUGAAGCGCAGUUGAUAUAAACCUUAUUUGACACAAACUGAAAUCAAAGAAUGAAAAACUGGUGUGACAUCUUUUCAUUUAAAAACCGGCCAAAAACAAAGUUCAUUUUCAAGUUUGAAACGCUCUGGCUGGUAAACACCCCUGAACUACCAUUGGUCCGUGCUGCUGAUGUAAUAAGUGGGCGUGGCUCUGGGGCUCCGCCUUCUUUGAUGUGGAAGCUUUCUCCGGUUCAUGUCUUCUGUUCAGCUCAUUAUGGAAGCCACAGAAUAAAAGAAAUAAAAAAGUAGCAGAAACAUACUUGUGAGACACAAACUGAGAACUGCUGGAUAUAAACUAUCCUGAGAAAAAAGUCUGAAUUGUGAGGGGUUUUUUAUCUUGUGGCAGAAACAAGCUUCCAUAGUCCAUCGAGUUCAGAUACCUGUAAAAACAUAACCUUUUUCUGAAGCUUUGAAUCAACUUAAUUUUUUGCUUUGCUAAAUGAAUUAAUUUUUUUCAAUGCACUUGAAAGCGCUUGUUUUGUUUGUUUUAUUGAGGUCUUGGUUAAUUAAUGCCUCAAUGCAUAUCAUUGAAAUUUUAUAACAUUUCAAAAGAUAUUACUUAAUGAAGCCUUUAUUACUGAAAUCACGUGACUUUGGCAGUUUGAUACACUCUCUGAAUCACAGGUUUGAAACAAAUGAUUCGAAGCUUCACCAAGAGGCAUCUCUAAAACACACAUCACUAGAGGUCAGUUCAAAACACAAACACACUGCAGAGCUGCUUUACAGUAGAAACUCAAGGUGUAAUUCUAAAUAAAAGCUACACUGACACUAUUUAUCAUGUUUAUUAAUGUAAAGUGCUAUAUAAAUAAACAUAACAUGACUACAGCAACCA
Molecule: long non-coding RNA, 3675 nt
Organism: Cyprinus carpio (common carp)
Lineage: Eukaryota; Metazoa; Chordata; Actinopteri; Cypriniformes; Cyprinidae
Exons: 2
Source: RefSeq, a predicted model, not a curated record